ACGAGCUUUAUCAAAGGGUAAGCUCAAGAUUCUGGUUUCUGUUUUUAACUAAAAGCUUUCGCUUAAGCAGCCAGGAAAAUAUUGCAAAGCGUGCCGCUGCAUACGGCUUUCAAGUGUUAUCAGAGGUGAUCAGAACAAGAGGGCUAAUCAAGUUGGGAUGAAGAAGAGAGUGCUCUAAAGUGCGUUGUGACAAGUGUGUUGUUAACCUGUUAAAAGCACCGUUUCUUAUGGGAUUAUGGAAUGAAUAGAAGGAGGAAGGAGGAAUAGAAAAGAGGAAGCAAAACGCAGGCAUUCAAGAUAUUCAAAACACAACUAAUGAUUUUGAACACAACGUACUGUUUCGGAAAAGGUUUACAUGAUGUCAACGGUGUAUAAUUUAUAGUCUAAGGGCAAGUUCUUAUGGAUGUGCGUCUUGUUUUGAGCAAGCUAGAGCUAAAAACCGGGGCAUAAUAUAGAAAAUUUU
This is a long non-coding RNA of Drosophila eugracilis, 463 nucleotides long. RefSeq lists it as uncharacterized. The record is from RefSeq and is a predicted model, not a curated record. NCBI's taxonomy places the organism in Eukaryota, Metazoa, Arthropoda, Insecta, Diptera, Drosophilidae. The transcript is spliced from 3 exons.